This 491-nucleotide ribosomal RNA is filed under the name uncultured bacterium. Its description in RNAcentral is "partial 16S ribosomal RNA". It matches the Rfam family "Bacterial small subunit ribosomal RNA", at positions 29 to 507 of the family's 1533-position model. The record is from RNAcentral.
AGUGAACGCUGGCGGUAGGCCUAACACAUGCAAGUCGAACGGCAGCACAGUAAGAGCUGCCCUUACGGGUGGCGAGUGGCGGACGGGUGAGGAAUACAUCGGAAUCUACUUUUUCGUGGGGGAUAACGUAGGGAAACUUACGCUAAUACCGCAUACGACCUACGGGUGAAAGCAGGGGAUCUUCGGACCUUGCGCGAUUGAAUGAGCCGAUGUCGGAUUAGCUAGUUGGCGGGGUAAAGGCCCACCAAGGCGACGAUCCGUAGCUGGUCUGAGAGGAUGAUCAGCCACACUGGAACUGAGACACGGUCCAGACUCCUACGGGAGGCAGCAGUGGGGAAUAUUGGACAAUGGGCGCAAGCCUGAUCCAGCCAUACCGCGUGGGUGAAGAAGGCCUUCGGGUUGUAAAGCCCUUUUGUUGGGAAAGAAAAGCAGCAGGUUAAUACCCCGCUGUUCUGACGGUACCCAAAGAAUAAGCACCGGCUAACUUCGUG